GCCAAUGGAAGGACUAUAGUUCAGUGGCAGAUCACCAGCUUUGCAUGCAGAAGGUUCUGGGUUCAAACCCUCGGCAUCUCCAGGCA
Molecule: non-coding RNA, 86 nt
Organism: Podarcis lilfordi (Lilford's wall lizard)
Lineage: Eukaryota; Metazoa; Chordata; Lepidosauria; Squamata; Lacertidae
Source: the annotation of a GenBank genome assembly